RNAcentral lists this ribosomal RNA (474 nucleotides) under uncultured bacterium. RNAcentral's name for it is "bacterial SSU rRNA". It matches the Rfam family "Bacterial small subunit ribosomal RNA", at positions 8 to 509 of the family's 1533-position model. The record is from RNAcentral.
AGAGUUUGAGUCCUGGCUACAGAACGAACGCUGGCGGCAUGGAUUAGGCAUGCAAGUCGAACGAAGCAGCAAUGCUUAGUGGCGGAAGGGUGAGGAACGCGUGAGUAAUCUGCCCUCAAGUUGGGAAUAACAGCUGGAAACGGCUGCUAAUACCGAAUGUGGCUGCAAGACCGCAUGAUUUUGCAGUUAAAGAUUUAUUGCUUGAGGAUGAGCUCGCGUCCCAUUAGCUAGUUGGCGGGGCAACGGCCCACCAAGGCGAUGAUGGGUAGCUGGUCUGAGAGGAUGGUCAGCCACACUGGGACUGAGACACUGCCCAGACUCCUACGGGAGGCUGCAGUCGAGAAUCUUGGGCAAUGCGCGAAAGCGUGACCCAGCAAUGCCGCGUGCGCGAUGAAGGUCUUCGGAUUGUAAAGCGCUGUCAACCGGGACGAAUUUGACGGUACCGGUGAAGGAAGCCACGGCUAACUACGUGCC